Molecule: ribosomal RNA, 253 nt
Filed under: uncultured bacterium
Lineage: Bacteria
Description: partial 16S ribosomal RNA
Rfam family: Bacterial small subunit ribosomal RNA
Source: RNAcentral
UACGUAGGGGGCAAGCGUUGUCCGGAAUCAUUGGGCGUAAAGCGCGUGUAGGCGGCUUGGUAAGUCCGCUCUGAAAGCCCGGGGCUCAACCCCGGGAGGCGGGUGGAUACUGUCAAGCUCGAGUCCGGAAGAGGCGAGUGGAAUUCCUGGUGUAGCGGUGAAAUGUGUAGAGAUCGGGAGGAACACCGGUGGCGAAGGCGGGUCUCUGGGCAAUUCCUGACGCUGAGGCGCGAAAGCGUGGGGAGCAAACGGG